GCUAGCCAAGCAACACUAGCUUAUUAGCAGCCAGGAUAGUGAGGGCUAAAGUAGUCCAGAUAAUGUCAUUAUUCAAACUGACUGGUUUGGUCAAUUUCUCCACACCAACUACCUAGUCCAAGCAGGCUUUUCAAAGAUCCCUUUUGGCUUCCUUCAAGAUUUGGACUGAGAUGCUUGAACGAUUUUUCUAACCACAAAAUCUCUCAACUUAGAAAGUAUCCUAGAAUGUUAUUUUCCGCCAAUUUCAGAUGGAGUCGGCUGGAAUAUGCAAUUCCAUUAUUAAAAGAAUGUUCUUAAACUUUAAAAAAUGAAAAAACCUAUAAUACUUUCAUUAAGAUUGAUGUUGCUGUAGCUGCUCCUACCAAACCCAUGAAGAAAGGUUUGAUCUUUUUGUUUGUCCAUGCUCUUUAGUCUCGCUGAACCUUAUUAUUCUGAGUUUGAAGGAUGAAUCACGAAUUGACCUGUAUAAAAGCACAUUAUGCAAACUUUCUAAUGAGAAAACGUUGAGUUUUGAGUCUUGUUGAUUGAUGUAAUGUGAUGUUCUGGUGAGUCAAUAAUUUUAGACUAACAUUCAACACAAGUCUGUGGUGAUAAUUUUUUUGGGAGACUUCUGUGGUAAUUUCUAUAGCUGGUAGCUAAAUCUUCUCCUCUUUUGCUUAUUCGGUCUCCAAUCUUCUUUCCUUUAUUACUAAGAUCUGAAUAGCUUUUUUGUUUAAUUUUCUGUUCGAGCACUGUAUGUUCUUUUUUAUUCUCAAUUAUUUAAUUUAAUA
This is a long non-coding RNA of Lycium ferocissimum, 770 nucleotides long. RefSeq lists it as uncharacterized. Lineage: Eukaryota; Viridiplantae; Streptophyta; Magnoliopsida; Solanales; Solanaceae. The transcript has 3 exons. The record is from RefSeq and is a predicted model, not a curated record.